RNAcentral lists this ribosomal RNA (305 nucleotides) under uncultured bacterium. Its description in RNAcentral is "partial 16S ribosomal RNA". It matches the Rfam family "Bacterial small subunit ribosomal RNA", at positions 506 to 808 of the family's 1533-position model. The record is from RNAcentral.
ACAGCAGUAGCCGCGGGAAUACGUAGGUCCCGAGCGUUGUCCGGAUUUAUUGGGCGUAAAGCGAGCGCAGGCGGUUAGAUAAGACUGAAGUUAAAGGCUGUGGCUUAACCAUAGUACGCUUUGGAAACUGUUUAACUUGAGUGCAGAAGAGGAGAGUGGAAUUCCACGUGUAGCGGUGAAAUGCGUAGAGAUGUGGAGGAACACCAGUGGCGAAGGCGACUCUCUGGUCUGUAACUGACGCUGAGGAGCGAAAGCGUGGGGAGCGAACAGGAUUAGAUACCCCCGUAGUCCCUGUCUCUUAUACA